GCUGUUUUAUUUCCUGAUUGUUUUUCUUUGAUGGUGCACAUGCACGUUCUCCAAUAUGACUAGGGUUCUGUAAAGCGGAGGUUGUAGCAACAGAGGCCGGACAGGUGUCUUUUCCGCGUGCGGACGGCGAAAGUUUCUCCUACUCGUCUGAACGCUGCACCUCGUCUGUAGAUAGUGAGAAGCCCUUGGCCUCUCGUUUCUGCCGGAUCACCACAGGUAGAAGUGCAGUCUGGGACCCACCAAUCGUCCUGACGUGUGAUGUUGUUGACCUGCGAAACCUGUCUAAGAUUAUCGUGACCAACGAGACAGCUCUAUCUGUGGCAACAGAACUACAGGUGAUCACAAUAGAGGCUGAAACUCUCUCAUCUGAUGAUAUCACCAACGUCAGCGCAAUUGUGCAGGAAGUAGUCGAGGCUAGUGCCACA
Molecule: long non-coding RNA, 425 nt
Organism: Branchiostoma floridae (Florida lancelet)
Lineage: Eukaryota; Metazoa; Chordata; Leptocardii; Amphioxiformes; Branchiostomatidae
Exons: 3
Source: RefSeq, a predicted model, not a curated record